AACGAACGCUGGCGGCAUGCCUAACACAUGCAAGUCGAACGAGAUCCUUCGGGGUCUAGUGGCGCACGGGUGCGUAACGCGUGGGAAUCUGCCCUUAUGUUCGGAAUAACAGUUAGAAAUGACUGCUAAUACCGGAUGAUGACGUUAAGUCCAAAGAUUUAUCGCCUGAGGAUGAGCCCGCGUAGGAUUAGCUAGUUGGUGUGGUAAAGGCGCACCAAGGCGACGAUGCUUAGCUGGUCUGAGAGGAUGAUCAGCCACACUGGGACUGAGACACGGCCCAGACUCCUACGGGAGGAAGCAGUGGGGAAUAUUGGACAAUGGGCGCAAGACUGAGCCAGCAAUGCCGCGUGAGUGAUGAAGGCGUUAGGGUUGUAAAGCUCUUUUAAAAGGGAUGAUAAUGACAGUACCGUGAGAAUAAGCCCCGGCUAACUCCGUG
Molecule: ribosomal RNA, 436 nt
Filed under: uncultured bacterium
Lineage: Bacteria
Description: partial 16S ribosomal RNA
Rfam family: Bacterial small subunit ribosomal RNA
Source: RNAcentral